This 837-nucleotide non-coding RNA is filed under the name Pan troglodytes (chimpanzee). The record is from RNAcentral. Lineage: Eukaryota; Metazoa; Chordata; Mammalia; Primates; Hominidae.
AGCAAGACUUGAAACCAACUCGCACCCUCAAAGCUCCGGAAGCCAUUCAGUGUUUCCAUCUUGGCCGAGUGAGUUCUUCACUGAAACUCAAUUUGACUUUGACAGUCAUCUAAUGAGAACUCAAAAGUCAUUCUUGGUUCAGCCACAGUCAAAGAACUUGCAGAGCAUUCUCUGACGAGGUCCUCAAGGACAACUGAGAGAAGGCAGAAAGGUGUUAAAUGGUUUGCAGAAUUGUUGGGAAGGCUAAGCUUCCAGGAGCAGCUCCCAAAGUCUCCACACACAACUGGACCACCAGGGAACCUGCUCCCUCCACCAAGACAGGACUUGGAAACCUGCCACCGCAAUUACCAGCACCAGAAGGAUCUUGUCUCUGCUAAGUCUCUGUCCACAUAGUGAAUACCCCGUGCCCUGCCUCUCUCUCCCUGACUCAGGUCCCAUUCCAGGUCUUGCCCAAGUCUUUCUGAUUGGUGGAACUUAAAUCACACCCAAAAUUCCAGCUGCAGGAGAGCUCUGAGAUUUCAUCUUUCCAACCUCUGUGUGCUACGUGGGGGUUGGAGCACUUGCUGACAAGCCUUGCAACCACCAUUGACAGGAUGUCCUCCACCUUUUCAAUCUGAUUUGCUCUUUGCCAUGCAGACCUGUGGAUGAAGAGCCAGAGUCCUCCAAGGUGAAGCUGGACUGAAUAUUUCUGUCCGUAAGACUAUUAGAAUCCCCCACAGUGGGAUACCAGUGAGGACCUCACCAGCAGCUGCUGUCUCUCCAAUGCAGAGCUUCCUGCCUCCUGCCCAGCCCCUGCUGUCAGAGAUACUUGGUGCUUCCAGUUCUGGAGACUUCCUU